GGCUACCCCGCUGCAGUGGAAACGCGCCAUUAGUUGCAGACAGCUGCAAUGGAAAAAACCGCUGCACUAUCAGUGCAACCAAUUCCGAGUUUGAAGACCCUUGUGGCGGCACUUACAAGUAGCUGGAGGUGGCUUACACUUGUAUCCUUCGUCGGGAUUAGCUUCCAAACAAUAAACCUCUUAACAUACUGAUAUCCCUGUAAUAUAAGAAAGAAAACCCCAUGGAAAUGAAAUGGUGCAUCUCAAAGUUUUCC
Molecule: long non-coding RNA, 254 nt
Organism: Gymnodraco acuticeps
Lineage: Eukaryota; Metazoa; Chordata; Actinopteri; Perciformes; Bathydraconidae
Exons: 3
Source: RefSeq, a predicted model, not a curated record